UGUGAGCUCGAUGAGUAGGGCGGGACACGUGGUAUCCUGUCUGAAUAUGGGGGGACCAUCCUCCAAGGCUAAAUACUCCUGACUGACCGAUAGUGAACCAGUACCGUGAGGGAAAGGCGAAAAGAACCCCGGCGAGGGGAGUGAAAAAGAACCUGAAACCGUGUACGUACAAGCAGUGGGAGCACGCUUAGGCGUGUGACUGCGUACCUUUUGUAUAAUGGGUCAGCGACUUAUAUUCUGUAGCAAGGUUAACCGAAUAGGGGAGCCGAAGGGAAACCGAGUCUUAACUGGGCGUUAAGUUGCAGGGUAUAGACCCGAAACCCGGUGAUCUAGCCAUGGGCAGGUUGAAGGUUGGGUAACACUAACUGGAGGACCGAACCGACUAAUGUUGAAAAAUUAGCGGAUGACUUGUGGCUGGGGGUGAAAGGCCAAUCAAACCGGGAGAUAGCUGGUUCUCCCCGAAAGCUAUUUAGGUAGCGCCUCGUGAAUUCAUCUCCGGGGGUAGAGCACUGUUUCGGCAAGGGGGUCAUCCCGACUUACCAACCCGAUGCAAACUGCGAAUACCGGAGAAUGUUAUCACGGGAGACACACGGCGGGUGCUAACGUCCGUCGUGAAGAGGGAAACAACCCAGACCGCCAGCUAAGGUCCCAAAGUCAUGGUUAAGUGGGAAACGAUGUGGGAAGGCCCAGACAGCCAGGAUGUUGGCUUAGAAGCAGCCAUCAUUUAAAGAAAGCGUAAUAGCUCACUGGUCGAGUCGGCCUGCGCGGAAGAUGUAACGGGGCUAAACCAUGCACCGAAGCUGCGGCAGCGACGCUUAUGCGUUGUUGGGUAGGGGAGCGUUCUGUAAGCCUGCGAAGGUGUGCUGUGAGGCAUGCUGGAGGUAUCAGAAGUGCGAAUGCUGACAUAAGUAACGAUAAAGCGGGUGAAAAGCCCGCUCGCCGGAAGACCAAGGGUUCCUGUCCAACGUUAAUCGGGGCAGGGUGAGUCGACCCCUAAGGCGAGGCCGAAAGGCGUAGUCGAUGGGAAACAGGUUAAUAUUCCUGUACUUGGUGUUACUGCGAAGGGGGGACGGAGAAGGCUAUGUUGGCCGGGCGACGGUUGUCCCGGUUUAAGCGUGUAGGCUGGUUUUCCAGGCAAAUCCGGAAAAUCAAGGCUGAGGCGUGAUGACGAGGCACUACGGUGCUGAAGCAACAAAUGCCCUGCUUCCAGGAAAAGCCUCUAAGCAUCAGGUAACAUCAAAUCGUACCCCAAACCGACACAGGUGGUCAGGUAGAGAAUACCAAGGCGCUUGAGAGAACUCGGGUGAAGGAACUAGGCAAAAUGGUGCCGUAACUUCGGGAGAAGGCACGCUGAUAUGUAGGUGAAGUCCCUCGCGGAUGGAGCUGAAAUCAGUCGAAGAUACCAGCUGGCUGCAACUGUUUAUUAAAAACACAGCACUGUGCAAACACGAAAGUGGACGUAUACGGUGUGACGCCUGCCCGGUGCCGGAAGGUUAAUUGAUGGGGUUAGCGCAAGCGAAGCUCUUGAUCGAAGCCCCGGUAAACGGCGGCCGUAACUAUAACGGUCCUAAGGUAGCGAAAUUCCUUGUCGGGUAAGUUCCGACCUGCACGAAUGGCGUAAUGAUGGCCAGGCUGUCUCCACCCGAGACUCAGUGAAAUUGAACUCGCUGUGAAGAUGCAGUGUACCCGCGGCAAGACGGAAAGACCCCGUGAACCUUUACUAUAGCUUGACACUGAACAUUGAGCCUUGAUGUGUAGGAUAGGUGGGAGGCUUUGAAGUGUGGACGCCAGUCUGCAUGGAGCCGACCUUGAAAUACCACCCUUUAAUGUUUGAUGUUCUAACGUUGACCCGUAAUCCGGGUUGCGGACAGUGUCUGGUGGGUAGUUUGACUGGGGCGGUCUCCUCCUAAAGAGUAACGGAGGAGCACGAAGGUUGGCUAAUCCUGGUCGGACAUCAGGAGGUUAGUGCAAUGGCAUAAGCCAGCUUGACUGCGAGCGUGACGGCGCGAGCAGGUGCGAAAGCAGGUCAUAGUGAUCCGGUGGUUCUGAAUGGAAGGGCCAUCGCUCAACGGAUAAAAGGUACUCCGGGGAUAACAGGCUGAUACCGCCCAAGAGUUCAUAUCGACGGCGGUGUUUGGCACCUCGAUGUCGGCUCAUCACAUCCUGGGGCUGAAGUAGGUCCCAAGGGUAUGGCUGUUCGCCAUUUAAAGUGGUACGCGAGCUGGGUUUAGAACGUCGUGAGACAGUUCGGUCCCUAUCUGCCGUGGGCGCUGGAGAACUGAGGGGGGCUGCUCCUAGUACGAGAGGACCGGAGUGGACGCAUCACUGGUGUUCGGGUUGUCAUGCCAAUGGCACUGCCCGGUAGCUAAAUGCGGAAGAGAUAAGUGCUGAAAGCAUCUAAGCACGAAACUUGCCCCGAGAUGAGUUCUCCCUGACUCCUUGAGAGUCCUGAAGGAACGUUGAAGACGACGACGUUGAUAGGCCGGGUGUGUAAGCGCAGCGAUGCGUUGAGCUAACCGGUACUAAUGAACCGUGAGGCUUAACCUU
RNAcentral lists this ribosomal RNA (2547 nucleotides) under Escherichia coli. RNAcentral's name for it is "bacterial LSU rRNA". It matches the Rfam family "Bacterial large subunit ribosomal RNA", at positions 398 to 2925 of the family's 2925-position model. Lineage: Bacteria; Pseudomonadati; Pseudomonadota; Gammaproteobacteria; Enterobacterales; Enterobacteriaceae. The record is from RNAcentral.